AGCCGAGAGCCGUGUGGUGGAUUC
This 24-nucleotide non-coding RNA is filed under the name Arabidopsis thaliana (thale cress). Lineage: Eukaryota; Viridiplantae; Streptophyta; Magnoliopsida; Brassicales; Brassicaceae. The record is from RNAcentral.